AUACGGAGGAUGCGAGCGUUAUCCGGAUUUAUUGGGUUUAAAGGGUGCGUGGGCUGUGCGUUAAGUCAGGGGUGAAAUGCCGUCGCUCAACGACGGAGCUGCCCUUGAUACUGGCGUGCUGGAGUACGGAUGCCGUUGGAGGAAUGAGUGGUGUAGCGGUGAAAUGCUUAGAUAUCACUCAGAACACCGAUUGCGAAGGCAUCUGACGAAUCCGUCACUGACGCUGAGGCACGAAAGCGUGGGGAUAGAACAGGAUUAGAUACCCUGGUAUUCCACGCCGUAAACGAUGAUGACUAACCGUCGGCGAUAGACAGCCGGUGGCCAAGCGAAAGCGAUAAGUCAUCCACCUGGGGAGUACGUCGGCAACGAUGAAACUCAAAUGAAUUGACGGGG
This 393-nucleotide ribosomal RNA is filed under the name uncultured bacterium. RNAcentral's name for it is "partial 16S ribosomal RNA". It matches the Rfam family "Bacterial small subunit ribosomal RNA", at positions 523 to 918 of the family's 1533-position model. The record is from RNAcentral.